CACACAAAUCUACAUAUAUAACACACAUAAACCAUAACAAAGGAGUCCAACAAAUCCAUCAUACAACAAAUCGUAUUAAUCAAGCAUUCAACAUGAAACAUCCAAUAUGGUGUACAAAACCAACAUGCAUCAUCAAUCAGGAACUGCACCAUGCAUAAUGCAUCAUCUAUCAGCACGACGUACUUUGUCUCAUAUCAAGAAAACUAAACCCAAACGUGCGUGCGUUCCUUUGCACAAAACUAUGCUCAUCUCUAUCUAACAAACAGAUAAAGAAACAUCAAGUGAUCCAUCGUAUCAUCAGAAAGAUCAUAUCAUCCUCUCCUGGCAUGCUUUCACGCAGCAAUUCAAGAUACACUCGAUUAAUCCUCUACCCUGACGGCUGCCCGGAGACGACUUGAUCUUCCUUAAUUCGCACCACCAUUGUCAGACCCGUCCCGGCUGCCAAACCUUCAAUCACCACAGCAGAUGGAUACCAGACCACAUGUUAGUAGUUAACAACAAUAGGACUUCAGCCCAUUUAUUUGAUUUUUGACAAGAUAAGAUCGAUCGAGCACAAAUGGGUGAAUUUCUUAAAUUCUAAGGCCAAGACUAAUAAGACACUAUAUGUUUCUAAUUGAAUCAUUCAUGCAACUAUACUAAUUGCCUACAACAUUGUUAUCCUUGAUUCUUACUUUCAAGUUCCCCAAUUUGCUGCAGAGACUUAGCCUAAGACUUGCAGGGAAAUAUUAAAAUAGCAUCUUAAAGUUAAUGUGACCAUAUUUAAAGAUAUUUCAAAGAGAAAUUUACUAUAAAACAAAAAAUACAAAUCAUGAAUGCUUCAAGGCAAUUAUCUCAAAAUUCUUUAAGCUAAGUGACACAUCUUAAUAUUUUCCAUGCUAAUGCUACAGUGAUAUUUGGCAGUACAAAUCAAGCAAAAUAAAAAAUGAUACAAAGUUCAAUUAAUAUGUUCACACAACAGUCAAAGAGUUGGAACCACAAUUGAGCAAACCCUCCAUCGCAAUUUCCUGACCAAGCAUAGUAAAGAGUCAAAAGAAUGUUCGUGACACAAUAAAGUUAUUAUUGUACCAAUCAAAGCUUAAAGAGUAAUUUUUCCAAGUUACAACACAAAUUAAUUGGGCUAACACAAAUUAAAGAGUCAAAUAAAACAGCAGGCUAACUUAAAUUGAAGAAAUACAGACCAAUUGGGCUGGAAUCAUCCUUGAAGUUUGACAACUGCACAACCCGCACUCUCUGUGUAAAUUUAAGGAACUCUUUGCAGAAUGCAGGAUCACCAGCACAUUCAGAGUCCUAUUGCUACUUUCAAACCAUCAUAUAUCAGUUAGUUCCAAUUUUUAGCUACAGGACAGUGAGUUGAGAUAAAAUGUAAGCAACCGACCCAAGAAUCUAAAGCAAAUCAACCUAAAAUCAAAUUAACAGAGUACCUCGAAUUAUAUUAUCUGUUAAAAUUUUAAACGUAAGCACUAAUAUAUGAUGUUGAAGGUGUCAAACUUCCAGACACAGCGCACCACCAGAAAAAUACCAGUACGCUUAACGGAAAUCACAGAAACGCAUAAAUAGAGGACCUAAGGUGAAAACCCCAGCAUAUACUUGGGCCAAUGCUUACUACAGAACACUACAAGUCAACAUCCGCGCUUAAGGACCGGAGCAAAUCUUAACAAGACGCUCCUCAACUAGAGAUCUAUAAGUCAACAAGCAGUUCAAGACAUAUAUGCAGCUCGAGGUCGGACCGCUCGAGCGCCCCGAAGCCGCGAGCGCCGCAUCAGGAGUCAGGGUGGGGCCGCGCCACCACAGAGGACCCGCGAGGCCGAGCCUCGCGUGCGCCCGCAAGGCCGCCCCGCCGCAGAGGUUCGCCGAGCCGCGCACAGGCCUGCGGGCCGCCGCCUGGGCGAGCGCUCCCCGUCCCCGCACGCCGACCGGACGCGCGAGCCGCGCGCAGGCUGUGGGCCGCCACCGCUUGCCGCAGUUGCCGGCCGGUCGGCUUACGCAUGCGCGCCCCACCCGAGGCCGCUGCUGUGACGCGCAGGUCUCCUGGCCGGCAGCUGCGUGGUGCUCCUCCGUUCUCUCUCUCCUGUAUGUUUUGACGGCUGAUGAAGGGGAGAGGAAAGGGAUAGAGUGAGUAAAA
RNAcentral lists this long non-coding RNA (2122 nucleotides) under Sorghum bicolor (sorghum). RNAcentral describes it as "long non-coding RNA (SBIC_LNC002132)". The record is from RNAcentral. Lineage: Eukaryota; Viridiplantae; Streptophyta; Magnoliopsida; Poales; Poaceae.